Molecule: ribosomal RNA, 274 nt
Filed under: uncultured bacterium
Lineage: Bacteria
Description: partial 16S ribosomal RNA
Rfam family: Bacterial small subunit ribosomal RNA
Source: RNAcentral
AUACGGAGGGUGUGAGCGUUAAUCGGAAUUACUGGGCGUAAAGCGUGCGUAGGCGGUUUGCUAAGUCAGAUGUGAAAGCCCCGGGCUUAACCUGGGAACUGCAUUUGAUACUGGCAGACUAGAGUAUGAUAGAGGGGGGUAGAAUUCCUGGUGUAGCGGUGAAAUGCGUAGAUAUCAGGAGGAAUACCAGUGGCGAAGGCGGCCCCCUGGAUCAAUACUGACGCUGAGGUACGAAAGCGUGGGGAGCGAACAGGAUUAGAAACCCCAGUAGUCC